This 254-nucleotide ribosomal RNA is filed under the name Sphingobacterium mizutaii. Its description in RNAcentral is "23S rRNA. Bacterial LSU". It matches the Rfam family "Bacterial large subunit ribosomal RNA", at positions 2656 to 2925 of the family's 2925-position model. The record is from RNAcentral. Lineage: Bacteria; Pseudomonadati; Bacteroidota; Sphingobacteriia; Sphingobacteriales; Sphingobacteriaceae.
GGAAGUUUGAGUGGAUCUGACCUUAGUACGAGAGGACCGGGUUGGACGGACCGCUGGUGAACCUGUUAUGCCGCCAGGUGUACGGCAGGGUAGCUACGUCCGGGAUAGAUAAGCGCUGAAAGCAUCUAAGUGCGAAACUAGCCACGAGAUGAGACUUCCUCACAAGGGUCGUCGGAGAUUACGACGUCGAUAGGCCACAGGUGUAAAGGUUGAGAGACCAAAGCCGAGUGGUACUAAUAGCCCGAAGCUUUCCA